GGAGAGGUGUCCGAGCGGCUGAAGGAGCACGGUUGGAAACCGUGUGUUCGGGGUAACCCGGACCGGGGGUUCGAAUCCCCCCCUCUCCGCCA
This 92-nucleotide transfer RNA is filed under the name Candidatus Brocadiia bacterium. Its description in RNAcentral is "tRNA-Ser". It matches the Rfam family "tRNA". Rfam says of the family: Transfer RNA (tRNA) molecules are approximately 80 nucleotides in length. The record is from RNAcentral. Lineage: Bacteria; Pseudomonadati; Planctomycetota; Candidatus Brocadiia.